UAUAUUGCGAGUUUGAUCCUAGCUCAGAAUUAACGCUAGAAAUAUACAUUACACAUGCAAAUUAAUGAUAAUAUCAUAGUGUAUAGGUGAGGAUAUAUAAAUUUUUAAUUUUAAAUAGAUUAUAAAUUUUAUUAAAUAAUAAUCUAUAAGCGCAAAAAUAUAUGUACUAUAUUAAAAAUUAAUAUUAUUUAAAAUAAAAUUUAUAUUUGAUUAACUAGUUGGUAAUUUAAAAGACUACCAAGGUUAUUAUCAAAAAUUGGUUUGAAAGAAUGUACAAUCACAUUAGGAUUGAAAUAAAGCCUAAAUUUUUAUAAAAAAUCAGCAGUGAGGAAUAUUUUACAAUAAGUGUAAGCUUGAUAAAGUAAUAUUUCUUUUAGGAAGACAGUAUUAUUAAAAUAUUGUAAACUUUUUAUUUUAUUUUUAAAUAUUGAUAAAAAUAAAAAAUAGUAUUUGCUAAUUUCUGUGCCAGCAAAAAGCGGUAAUACAGAAAAUGCAAGCGUUAUUCAUUUCUUUAUUGGUAAUCCUUAAAGCGCUUUACGCCUAA
Molecule: non-coding RNA, 544 nt
Filed under: Plasmodium falciparum Dd2
Lineage: Eukaryota; Apicomplexa; Aconoidasida; Haemosporida; Plasmodiidae
Description: Bacterial small subunit ribosomal RNA
Rfam family: Bacterial small subunit ribosomal RNA
Source: Rfam by way of RNAcentral